GAUGAACGCUGGCGGCUUGCCUAAUACAUGCAAGUCGAGCGAACGGACGAGAAGCUUGCUUCUCUGAUGUUAGCGGCGGACGGGUGAGUAACACGUGGAUAACCUACCUAUAAGACUGGGAUAACUUCGGGAAACCGGAGCUAAUUCCGGAUAAUAUUUUGAACCGCAUGGUUCAAAAGUGAAAGACGGUCUUGCUGUCACUUAUAGAUGGAUCCGCGCUGCAUUAGCUAGUUGGUAAGGUAACGGCUUACCAAGGCAACGAUGCAUAGCCGACCUGAGAGGGUGAUCGGCCACACUGGAACUGAGACACGGUCCAGACUCCUACGGGAGGCAGCAGUAGGGAAUCUUCCGCAAUGGGCGAAAGCCUGACGGAGCAACGCCGCGUGAGUGAUGAAGGUCUUCGGAUCGUAAAACUCUGUUAUUAGGGAAGAACAUAUGUGUAAGUAACUGUGCACAUCUUGACGGUACCUAAUCAGAAAGCCACGGCUAACUACGUG
RNAcentral lists this ribosomal RNA (497 nucleotides) under uncultured bacterium. RNAcentral describes it as "partial 16S ribosomal RNA". It matches the Rfam family "Bacterial small subunit ribosomal RNA", at positions 28 to 507 of the family's 1533-position model. The record is from RNAcentral.